GACGAACGCUGGCGGCGUGCUUAACACAUGCAAGUCGAACGAAGUGGCGAACGGGUGAGUAACGCGUAAUCAACCUGCCCUUCAGAGGGGGACAACAGUUGGAAACGACUGCUAAUACCGCAUAUUGAAGGAGGGGAUUGCGUCUGAUUAGCUAGUUGGAGGGGUAACGGCCCACCAAGGCGAUGUUCAGUAGCCGGUCUGAGAGGCUGGACGGCCACAUUGGGACUGAGACACGGCCCAGGCUCCUUCGGGAGGCAGCAGUGGGGAAUCUGCCGCAAUGGACGAAAGGCUAGCCGGGCAACGCCGCGGGAGGGAUGACGGCCUUCGGGUUUUAAAGCUCUGUUAAUCGGGGCGCGGUACCGAAAUAGAAAGCCACGGCUAACUACGUGCCAGCAGCCGCGGUAAUUC
RNAcentral lists this ribosomal RNA (408 nucleotides) under uncultured bacterium. RNAcentral's name for it is "partial 16S ribosomal RNA". It matches the Rfam family "Bacterial small subunit ribosomal RNA", at positions 28 to 526 of the family's 1533-position model. The record is from RNAcentral.